This 2789-nucleotide ribosomal RNA is filed under the name Escherichia coli. RNAcentral describes it as "bacterial LSU rRNA". It matches the Rfam family "Bacterial large subunit ribosomal RNA". Lineage: Bacteria; Pseudomonadati; Pseudomonadota; Gammaproteobacteria; Enterobacterales; Enterobacteriaceae. The record is from RNAcentral.
AGCGUACACGGUGGAUGCCCUGGCAGUCAGAGGCGAUGAAGGACGUGCUAAUCUGCGAUAAGCGUCGGUAAGGUGAUAUGAACCGUUAUAACCGGCGAUUUCCGAAUGGGGAAACCCAGUGUGAUUCGUCACACUAUCAUUAACUGAAUCCAUAGGUUAAUGAGGCGAACCGGGGGAACUGAAACAUCUAAGUACCCCGAGGAAAAGAAAUCAACCGAGAUUCCCCCAGUAGCGGCGAGCGAACGGGGAGGAGCCCAGAGCCUGAAUCAGUGUGUGUGUUAGUGGAAGCGUCUGGAAAGGCGCGCGAUACAGGGUGACAGCCCCGUACACAAAAAUGCACAUGCUGUGAGCUCGAUGAGUAGGGCGGGACACGUGGUAUCCUGUCUGAAUAUGGGGGGACCAUCCUCCAAGGCUAAAUACUCCUGACUGACCGAUAGUGAACCAGUACCGUGAGGGAAAGGCGAAAAGAACCCCGGCGAGGGGAGUGAAAAAGAACCUGAAACCGUGUACGUACAAGCAGUGGGAGCACAGAGCAAUCUGUGUGACUGCGUACCUUUUGUAUAAUGGGUCAGCGACUUAUAUUCUGUAGCAAGGUUAACCGAAUAGGGGAGCCGAAGGGAAACCGAGUCUUAACUGGGCGUUAAGUUGCAGGGUAUAGACCCGAAACCCGGUGAUCUAGCCAUGGGCAGGUUGAAGGUUGGGUAACACUAACUGGAGGACCGAACCGACUAAUGUUGAAAAAUUAGCGGAUGACUUGUGGCUGGGGGUGAAAGGCCAAUCAAACCGGGAGAUAGCUGGUUCUCCCCGAAAGCUAUUUAGGUAGCGCCUCGUGAAUUCAUCUCCGGGGGUAGAGCACUGUUUCGGCAAGGGGGUCAUCCCGACUUACCAACCCGAUGCAAACUGCGAAUACCGGAGAAUGUUAUCACGGGAGACACACGGCGGGUGCUAACGUCCGUCGUGAAGAGGGAAACAACCCAGACCGCCAGCUAAGGUCCCAAAGUCAUGGUUAAGUGGGAAACGAUGUGGGAAGGCCCAGACAGCCAGGAUGUUGGCUUAGAAGCAGCCAUCAUUUAAAGAAAGCGUAAUAGCUCACUGGUCGAGUCGGCCUGCGCGGAAGAUGUAACGGGGCUAAACCAUGCACCGAAGCUGCGGCAGCGACGCUUAUGCGUUGUUGGGUAGGGGAGCGUUCUGUAAGCCUGUGAAGGUGUGCUGUGAGGCAUGCUGGAGGUAUCAGAAGUGCGAAUGCUGACAUAAGUAACGAUAAAGCGGGUGAAAAGCCCGCUCGCCGGAAGACCAAGGGUUCCUGUCCAACGUUAAUCGGGGCAGGGUGAGUCGACCCCUAAGGCGAGGCCGAAAGGCGUAGUCGAUGGGAAACAGGUUAAUAUUCCUGUACUUGGUGUUACUGCGAAGGGGGGACGGAGAAGGCUAUGUUGGCCGGGCGACGGUUGUCCCGGUUUAAGCGUGUAGGCUGGUUUUCCAGGCAAAUCCGGAAAAUCAAGGCUGAGGCGUGAUGACGAGGCACUACGGUGCUGAAGCAACAAAUGCCCUGCUUCCAGGAAAAGCCUCUAAGCAUCAGGUAACAUCAAAUCGUACCCCAAACCGACACAGGUGGUCAGGUAGAGAAUACCAAGGCGCUUGAGAGAACUCGGGUGAAGGAACUAGGCAAAAUGGUGCCGUAACUUCGGGAGAAGGCACGCUGAUAUGUAGGUGAAGUCCCUCGCGGAUGGAGCUGAAAUCAGUCGAAGAUACCAGCUGGCUGCAACUGUUUAUUAAAAACACAGCACUGUGCAAACACGAAAGUGGACGUAUACGGUGUGACGCCUGCCCGGUGCCGGAAGGUUAAUUGAUGGGGUCAGCGCAAGCGAAGCUCUUGAUCGAAGCCCCGGUAAACGGCGGCCGUAACUAUAACGGUCCUAAGGUAGCGAAAUUCCUUGUCGGGUAAGUUCCGACCUGCACGAAUGGCGUAAUGAUGGCCAGGCUGUCUCCACCCGAGACUCAGUGAAAUUGAACUCGCUGUGAAGAUGCAGUGUACCCGCGGCAAGACGGAAAGACCCCGUGAACCUUUACUAUAGCUUGACACUGAACAUUGAGCCUUGAUGUGUAGGAUAGGUGGGAGGCUUUGAAGUGUGGACGCCAGUCUGCAUGGAGCCGACCUUGAAAUACCACCCUUUAAUGUUUGAUGUUCUAACGUUGACCCGUAAUCCGGGUUGCGGACAGUGUCUGGUGGGUAGUUUGACUGGGGCGGUCUCCUCCUAAAGAGUAACGGAGGAGCACGAAGGUUGGCUAAUCCUGGUCGGACAUCAGGAGGUUAGUGCAAUGGCAUAAGCCAGCUUGACUGCGAGCGUGACGGCGCGAGCAGGUGCGAAAGCAGGUCAUAGUGAUCCGGUGGUUCUGAAUGGAAGGGCCAUCGCUCAACGGAUAAAAGGUACUCCGGGGAUAACAGGCUGAUACCGCCCAAGAGUUCAUAUCGACGGCGGUGUUUGGCACCUCGAUGUCGGCUCAUCACAUCCUGGGGCUGAAGUAGGUCCCAAGGGUAUGGCUGUUCGCCAUUUAAAGUGGUACGCGAGCUGGGUUUAGAACGUCGUGAGACAGUUCGGUCCCUAUCUGCCGUGGGCGCUGGAGAACUGAGGGGGGCUGCUCCUAGUACGAGAGGACCGGAGUGGACGCAUCACUGGUGUUCGGGUUGUCAUGCCAAUGGCACUGCCCGGUAGCUAAAUGCGGAAGAGAUAAGUGCUGAAAGCAUCUAAGCACGAAACUUGCCCCGAGAUGAGUUCUCCCUGACUCCUUGA